Molecule: ribosomal RNA, 467 nt
Filed under: uncultured bacterium
Lineage: Bacteria
Description: partial 16S ribosomal RNA
Rfam family: Bacterial small subunit ribosomal RNA
Source: RNAcentral
GAUGAACGCUGGCGGCGUGCUUAACACAUGCAAGUCGAGCGGAGAGGCAGAGCUUGCUCUGUGGCUCAGUGGCGAACGGGUGAGUAACACGUGAGCAACUUGCCCAUCACUCUGGGCUACGCGCUGUAAAGGACGCCUAUUACUGGAUAUGAGCUGCGACCGCAUGGUCAGCAGUUGGAAAGAUUUCUCGGUCUGGGAUGGGCUGACGGCCUAUCAGCUUGUUUGUGAGGUAAUGGCUCACAAAGGCGUCGACGGGUAGCCGGCCUGAGAGGGGGAACAGGCACACUGGGACUGAGGGACGGCCCAGACUGCUACGGGCGGCAGCAGUGGGAAACAUUGCACAACGGGCCAAAGCCUGAUACAACGACGCCGCGUUAGUAAUGACGUCCUACGAGGUGUAAACCUCUUUGAGCAUGAAAGAAGAGAAAUUGACGGUACCUGCAGAAAAAGCGCCGGCUAACUACGUG